CCCAGAACAGAGCAACAAAAACAGAGUCCAAAGAGCUUCUGAGCAGCCAAGGCAAUGUUUGAGGUCUGCCCUUAAUCCCAUAGAACACUUCUUGCCCUAAGGUGGAGUUUAUAGAGAAAUACUGCUACUUCCAACUUAUAAACCUGAAGUUCCACGUUCCUGGAGGGAACUAUCCGGGAAUGAAGGGCCAUCAAUUACUGCCAUCUGGUUAGAUUGGAAACAGAAGACUGGGGAAGACGGUGGAAAGAGGAAAUAAAGACCAGCUGAGGUCUGAGAAGCUUCCAUGGAUGAGAAGUUGGAGCUACACAGUAAACAAGGAUGAAUUCACCAAGCUGACAUAAGGGAAAGAACAUUUCAAUACCAGUAGGUCCUCAGGUUAAGAAAGUGAGGACAUUAAACUGAGGUUGAACUGUAAACCUGACAUGGAGCCUGAAGGACAGAGAGGGAAAUAGCAGAGGAUAGGUAGGAAUGUCCGGGGAAGGGCCAGAUGGAAGGCAAUUCCAAACCACAAACGCUCAUGUUAAGAAGCUCUCUUGAGGGCAGUGGGGAUGACUGACAGCAUUAAUGAAAAAAAAAUUUACAUGUAAUCAGAUUUGUGCCUUUGCUCACUCAGACUCCAGUUGGGAUCAUACUGCUUGUUAUGGAUGAUCAAUUUGAUUGGAUUAAGACAUGCUUAAGGUUAAAGGCUUCUGGGUAUCUCAAUGAGGGAGAUUCUAGGAAUAAUUGGCAUGUGGGACAGCAAACUUUGGCAGACACCCACCCUAAGUGUAGGCAGCAGAGUCCAAUAGGUUGGAGGCUUGGAGAGAACAAAAUUUGGAAGAACAAGGAGGCAGCAGCAGAUGCAAGCUUGAUUCUUCUUGGAUGGGUUCUUGAUUGCUUCUGCGCUGGGCUGAGAACAUUGUACUCUUGCUCCUUCACUCUUCCAAAGCAGACUCUGCCCAGUGACUCUCCAGGGAGUUUUCAGGCCUUUGGUCCCAAACCAGAGCUACAAAUCAUUUAUCCCUCUUGUUCUGAUGUUAGAGUCUGUAAACAAGUCAAAAUAACACCUGGCAUUUUGCCAGGGGAAUGUUAGAGUUCGUAAACAAGUCUGGAUGGUGCCUGGCAAAAUGCCAGAGGGAGUGGUUUGAGAAGUAACAAAAGCAAGCCAUUAAGUGUGGAGAUUCCUUAUUGGUUGACUGAUGUAUCUAGUUUAUGCUAAUUAGAUAAGCUGUGUGUAAUGUAUAAAUACUGCUCCUGUCCUGCAAUAAAUGGCUCCCACUCCUGCUGUA
Molecule: long non-coding RNA, 1268 nt
Organism: Marmota monax (woodchuck)
Lineage: Eukaryota; Metazoa; Chordata; Mammalia; Rodentia; Sciuridae
Exons: 2
Source: RefSeq, a predicted model, not a curated record